RNAcentral lists this long non-coding RNA (1547 nucleotides) under Panax ginseng (ginseng). RNAcentral's name for it is "long non-coding RNA (PGIN_LNC014238)". The record is from RNAcentral. Lineage: Eukaryota; Viridiplantae; Streptophyta; Magnoliopsida; Apiales; Araliaceae.
CCUAACUUUCUCUACUGGAAACUACAAGUAUUUGAUUUUUCAGUAAUACUAACUAAAGCAUCUCAGAUGAGUUGCAUUUUUAGGAUAGAUCCCGACUCAAUCCGAUUUAGUCUCCUGACUCUCCUCAAAUCAUUACAAAGUCCAAACUUAGUAUAUUUAUUCUGUUAUACAUCUCUAUAACACAAUUUCUUCUUUAGAGUCUCUAAAAUCACCAGCGAAGAAACAUAGUAUUUAGCAUCCAACACAGAGUUCCAUGUCCAGGUAUUCCAUCACACGUCUAACACAAAAUGACAAAGAAAGAAGUGGUCUCUGCUGAAGUUUGGUCACCAAUAAUCAAGCAGAUAUUGGAUGAAGUCAUUGGCUUCAGUGCUGAAGCCAAAAGUUCAAAAAGUGGACACCCUUUCCAUUUUUUACAGAAGCAUAAAGGAACUAGAUGAAUAAUUACCCCGAUAACAUGACUAUAAACGAAUAUAGAACAUAGGGGUAAGUAUGACAGGAUGAUAAAAAGCCAACAUCUUUAACUAAUUAAACAAUAACAGAUUGUCAGAUUCCAAAGAGUACUUGAAGGUAACAGAUGUUGGGAUUGGCAAAGAAAGGGAGCAAGGCGAAUGUUUUAGAAAAAAAAAGAAGAAGAGGUUUUUGUAAGGUGGAUUCAGCUAAAAGCUUCAAGAUGAUAUUAUAUUGAGUUUCAGUAUAGAACUAAAUCAAACUUAACCGACCAAAAGUUUCAAAUUUUGGUAGGAGCCAGUGCCUAUUGAAGUAAUACAAGCUAUUUGUGUUGUGCAGGAAAUCGGCUAAUACUUACUUAGUUUGUAGCAAUAUAAUUGAAAAAUGCAUUAGUCUUAAAAGGGAAGAACAAAUCAUUUGAGCCAUCUGACACAUUUUAGUCAUAUAAGGGUAAUUUGCAUGAUAAAAGAAUAGUGAUGAUAAUGAAGAUUUUGAUUAAAAUACGAGGCAAAACCCUAAAGUAGGAGCUACCAAGAUAUUGUUAAUGAAUAGGAAAAACUGAAGAAGAAAAUCCUAGUAGAACAGAUGGAAGCAUAAUGAAAUUCAAAUAAGGGCGUGCGUGUGUAUUUAUAAUACAUAACAAGAAAAAGAAGGGGAAUUUGAAAGGAAAUGUGAAACUUUUCAAAUCUUGACAGCACGUUUGAAUAAGAGCUCCGAUUUGAACAAUAAGAGUUCCAAUUUGAACAGAGAGAUAAGUAAUAUAACAACUCAGAGAUUGUUAUUAGUUCAGUUCAAUAAUGUAUGUAUUACUAUUACCUGAUUGAUAUAUAAGAUUCGGAAGCAUCAAUGUCGAAUUGGAUUCAGACUAACGUGCUGAUGUUCAUCACACUUGCUGCGUAUGAAUACCACGACGAUUACAGAUAGCUCUAGAGUAAUGUAAUAGAUCCAAGAACCAUUGCAGGGCAGGUUGUGGUCGUCGUCCUAAUUAUUUUUGACUUUGGAUAUGUAUAUAUAAAUAUAAAAUAAAGAUUGAGACCGCCUAGGCCUAGCCUAACCAUUUUGUAAUAGGGGAGUAUGUUGAGCCUAGUGUAAGAAAAGAG